Molecule: ribosomal RNA, 357 nt
Filed under: uncultured bacterium
Lineage: Bacteria
Description: bacterial SSU rRNA
Rfam family: Bacterial small subunit ribosomal RNA
Source: RNAcentral
CUUCGGGCCCAGUGAAAGUGCUGCAUGGCCGUCUAAAGCUCGUGUCGUGAGAUGUUUGGUUUAAUCCAUCAACGAGCGCAACCCCCGUAGUUAGUUGAAUUUUUCUAGCUAGACUGCCUCGGUAACGGGGAGGAAGGAGGGGAAGACGUCAGGUCAGUAUUGCCCUUACACCUGGGGCUACAAACACACUACAAUGGCCGGUACAAAGGGCUGCCAACCCGCGAGGGGGAGCAAAUCCCAUCAAAGCCGGUCUCAGUUCGGAUUGUAGGCUGAAACUCGCCUGCAUGAAGCUGGAAUCGCUAGUAACGGUAGGUCAGCAUACUACCGUGAAUACGUUCCCGGGUCUGUAACACACCG